This is a long non-coding RNA of Oxyura jamaicensis (ruddy duck), 2747 nucleotides long. RefSeq lists it as uncharacterized. NCBI's taxonomy places the organism in Eukaryota, Metazoa, Chordata, Aves, Anseriformes, Anatidae. The transcript is spliced from 2 exons. The record is from RefSeq and is a predicted model, not a curated record.
GGACAGAUUGGUGAAUUUCUGUUCUUUGCAGCCUCAGAGCUGGGAGGGUGGUCCUUACAAUGGACACUUGUCUUGAGCCAUGGUUUCUCUUAAUUACUUAAAUGAGAUUAAAUUGAACUAAAAACGUCUUCAUAUAAAUAAGAGCUAAACGUAAGCAUACUGGGGUGUCAGGGGGCUGAAUCAAUAGACAUCAACAUCACCAGGAUGGUUUUCAUUGAAUUUAAUGGGUGUUGGAGCUUUUCGAAGCUUGCUUAAGGUUAGAUACAAUCAAAUAUUACCAAAACAAAUGAUAAUGCAAGCAGGCAUAUGAUCAGUAAAAUAAAUGUACCCAUUCAACCAUCCAUUCAUCCAUCCAUCUUCCCAUUCAUCAACCAUUAUUUUGCAUUCACUUUCCAUUUUCUUGACUACUUUUUGGAAUUUAGCACAAGAAAAAAUGGAAGCUGAUAAGUGCAACAGGUUAGUAGAACUAGCAUAUAUUUACUAGAUUUGAUAUUUCAUCCCUAUUCUGGUUUACUUAUGACUUAAAAUGUAUGCUGAUGUAUACCAGAAAAUCCAAAAAGUAGUGCAGAAAAGAUAAUGGAAUCAAGGCAUUAUGGAAGAAUGCGUAUUUGUUAAAACUUGCACUCUAGACUGACAAAUAAGGAACAUGUACACUGAAAAAUUAGCAAACACAUGCGAAACAAAUGCAGAAAGAAUUCUGUGAGCUAUUAGCAGAACAUUACUCCAUGAAGAUGUAAAACCAGUUAGGUUCAUGUCCCUAACCUGGACUUUGUGAAUAUCAUCAGGAGGAGCCUGAAGCAGUGUCAGGAUGUUCUCACCUGACAUUUAUGUGGAUGAGCGACAUCACAAAUGGGGAUUAUCAGAAGGAAAGAGACUGAUCAUAAAGGAAUGCUUUUACUUUUAAAUCUUAAAUAUUUCUCUUUUCAUGGGUCACACUAAAAUACCAGUACUGUCUAUUAAAAGUGUACUGUCUAUUAAAAGCAAAAUCCCCCUAGUGGACACAAUUAUAUUUAUACUUGGUGUAUAGUAAUUAUUGUUAAUGAAAGAAACUGUAGAUCACAACACAUGCAGAGCUGUAAUGCAUGAAACUUUCUUAGCAUUUGCAGUAUAGCAUGGCUGUUUCACAAGCCUGAUUCUCUUCCCACAUCCUUCUGUAAACCAGGAUAAUCCUCACAGAUAUCAAUGGAAUUACACUGAUAUGAAAAUGGUAUGGGGGAGAAUCAACUCCAGGGAGGCUCCUGUGCUUCUGUUGAUGGGUUAUUGUUAGCUGAACCAAACAGCAUUCAGAUGAUCGUGUUAAGGAUGUUAGAUUUUUAUUUUUUUUUCCUAGCCUGAAAGCAGCCUGUUUUUCUCAGGAAUAAAGAUUCCUGGCUUAUGUUUGGACUACUUAAACCAAGUUUUAAUUAAUGAAUUCUUUUAUAUUAUGUGUACAUUUAUUUUCUUUUAUAAAUAGCAAGAGAGUAGACAGUUUUUUGCUUGUUUGUUUUUUUGAAGAUGUAAACCUUUGGGUUUCCUUUUAAUUUUGAUUGUAAUUAAAAAAUAAGGGAGGAGAUUAAAUUUAUCAGAACUCACUUUCUGUCAACAAAGUUAGAAUACAAAUUCUACCAAGUAAUGACUCUUUUGUUUAGCAGUUCAAUAGCAGCAGUUUAGGAAUCAGAUAAAUUAAUUUCUUAUAAUCAGUCAAGCAGAUUAAUAAACAAACUAAAAUCACAGAUUUUAUUUCUUUCAAUGCAACUAAAAGAAUGAAUUAGUGUAUUUUGAAUGAUGUACAAUCCACAGGUGCUCUCUGGGAUUCCAUUUGGAAUAAAUUACAACAUUGUCUAAUGUUGAUAACAAGCAAACUACAGAGCAUUAAGAACAAUAUAUAAAAACAAAUAAAAAAAUCAUAAUCAUUAAAAAAUGCUGGGAAGCUGUUGGAAGGCCAAAUCUGCCUUAGAUUUCAAGACUUCAAAUUUCUGGCUGAAAGACUAGUGAUUAAAAUUGCUGAAAGACAGGUAUACAUUAUUUCUCACUGUCAGCAUCACACAGUAGUAAAUCACUUUGAGGAUAAAUGAAGCUAAUAUAAACACUAGAUAAAACUCUGCACAAAAGUUACUUCCUGGAAACUUGUGGGGAAAAAAAUCUAGAAGACAUGAAAUACAUCAGCAAGUCAGAUAAGUAUAGUGAGUUAAAAAUAUGGCACACAGAAGUAUAUAGUUGAGUGGUGAAUAAACUUGAAGCAACUUCAAAACUCCCACUCACAGUUUCCCAUUAAUAAUGGCUGCAAGUGGGUUUUGGAAGAAUGAAAUUAUGAUGGUUCUGUCAUUAGAAUAUGCCAAAAUUUAGAUGCCUUAAAUAUGUGAAACUGUUGUUGGUCUCCGUACACAGCUUAAAAAUGUGGAUUCCAAAUUUCUUGGCAGUGGCUUAUUCCUUCACACAUAUGCCUGGAGUAUUUGCUAAGUUACUCAGCUUCACUAAUGAUGGGAAGUUUUCAAAGCAGCAGUGGCACGUUAAAUUAGAGGGAAAGACCUUCAACACUGUAAUAUUGUCAGGAUUCCAAAUAUCAAAUCUGUCUCCAAAUGUUCCAGAAUUUAAAUUCUUAGGAAAUUCUUUGAAGUAUUUUCUUCAUUAAGCUAUAAAUAAUUUGGGCUGGUAUACUGUUGCAGUGCUCUUGACCUUGCAGAUCUGACAGGUAGGAUUAUUUAAACUUCAUAAUAACAGAUGAUUCCCAUCCAAAGAUCUAACAAAUAAUAUUUACCAUGUGAAUU